CACUGAUAAAGUGGAUGGGCAUAAAAUACUAUCUAUCUCUGUUAUCCCAGACACAAAGGUAGUGUCUGCACAAGGAACAGGCUGCUACUAUCCCAGGGAACCAUGAGCACAGAACUGGCAGCAGUUAUUUGAAUAAGGACCUAUCUGGUAGGAAGAAGAGCAUGACUUCAAAAUAAGGCGGUAUCUAAGAAUCAGACUUUGGAAACUGUUGAGAGAAAAAAUGAUAACAUUCAAGAGGGAAGUUUUAAGCCAAAGAUCCCGGAGCAAAAAGGAGAGAAAGGAGAUGUAAAGAAUCAAAUCACAGAAAGACAGGGUGGAAGGAAGCUUAAGAUGCCGCCCAGACCUUACUGGGCCGUCCUCACUGCCACCAGCAGCCUUGUUGCCGUCUGGAAGCUCAUAGAAGGAGAUUUUUCCUCCUUUGGAAUUUUAGG
This 431-nucleotide long non-coding RNA is filed under the name Dromaius novaehollandiae (emu). RNAcentral's name for it is "lncRNA (ENSDNVG00000009078.1)". Lineage: Eukaryota; Metazoa; Chordata; Aves; Casuariiformes; Dromaiidae. The record is from RNAcentral.